Molecule: ribosomal RNA, 601 nt
Filed under: uncultured bacterium
Lineage: Bacteria
Description: bacterial SSU rRNA
Rfam family: Bacterial small subunit ribosomal RNA
Source: RNAcentral
CGAGGCCUUUACUGACGCUAAAGCUCGAAGGUGCGGGUAUCGAACAGGAUUAGAUACCCUGGUAGUCCGCACGGUAAACGAUGGAUGCCCGCUGUUUGCGAUACACUGUGAGCGGCCAAGCGAAAGCGUUAAGCAUCCCACCUGGGGAGUACGCCGGCAACGGUGAAACUCAAAGGAAUUGACGGGGGCCCGCACAAGCGGAGGAACAUGUGGCUUAAUUCGAUGAUACGCGAGGAACCUUACCCGGGCUUGAACUGCCGGUGAACGAUACAGAGAUGUUGAGGUCCUUCGGGACGCCGGUGGAGGUGCUGCAUGGUUGUCGUCAGCUCGUGCCGUGAGGUGUCGGCUUAAGUGCCAUAACGAGCGCAACCCCUCUCCGUAGUUGCCAUCGGGUGAUGCCGGGCACUCUGCGGACACUGCCACCGUAAGGUGCGAGGAAGGUGGGGAUGACGUCAAAUCAGCACGGCCCUUACGUCCGGGGCUACACACGUGUUACAAUGGGUGGUACAGAGAGCCGGGAGUACGCAAGUGCCCCCUAAUCAUGAAAUCCAUCCUCAGUUCGGACUGGGGUCUGCAACCCGACCCCACGAAGCUGGAUUCG